GCAAGUCGAGGGGUAACAGGAAAUAGCUUGCUAUUUUGCUGACGACCGGCGCACGGGUGCGAACGCGUAUAGAACCUACCUUUUACAGGGGAAUAGCCAGAGAACUUUGGAUUAAUGCCCCAUAGUAUUAUAAAAUGGCAUCAUUUUAUAAUUAAACAUGUAUGGGUAAAAGAUGGCUAUGCGGUCUAUUAGCUAGAUGGUAAGGUAACGGCUUACCAAGGCAACGAUAGAUAGGGGUCCUGAGAGGGAGAUC
RNAcentral lists this ribosomal RNA (253 nucleotides) under uncultured bacterium. Its description in RNAcentral is "partial 16S ribosomal RNA". It matches the Rfam family "Bacterial small subunit ribosomal RNA", at positions 57 to 305 of the family's 1533-position model. The record is from RNAcentral.